AACGCGUAUGCAACCUACCUUAAUCAGGGGGAUAGCCCGAAGAAAUUCGGAUUAACACCGCAUAAAAUCACAGUACAGCAUUGUACAAUGAUCAAAUAUUUAUAGGAUUAAGAUGGGCAUGCGUGUCAUUAGUUAGUUGGCGAGGUAACGGCUCACCAAGACCACGAUGACUAGGGGAUCUGAGAGGAUGACCCCCCACACUGGUACUGAGACACGGACCAGACUCCUACGGGAGGCAGCAGUAAGGAAUAUUGGUCAAUGGAGGCAACUCUGAACCAGCCAUGCCGCGUGCAGGAAGACAGCCCUCUGGGUCGUAAACUGCUUUUAUUCGGGAAUAAACCUACUUACGUGUAAGUAGCUGAAUGUACCGAAGGAAUAAGGAUCGGCUAACUCCGUGCCAGCAGCCGCGGUAAUACGGAGGAUCCAAGCGUUAUCCGGAUUUAUUGGGUUUAAAGGGUGCGUAGGCGGCUUAUUAAGUCAGGGGUGAAAGACGGUGGCUCAACCAUCGCAGUGCCCUUGAUACUGAUGAGCUUGAAUACACUAGAGGUAGGCGGAAUGUGACAAGUAGCGGUGAAAUGCAUAGAUAUGUCACAGAACACCGAUUGCGAAGGCAGCUUACUAUGGUGUCAUUGACGCUGAGGCACGAAAGCGUGGGGAUCAAACAGGAUUAGAUACCCUGGUAGUCCACGCCCUAAACGAUGAAUACUCGCUGUUAG
This 716-nucleotide ribosomal RNA is filed under the name Pedobacter sp. A6AT6. RNAcentral's name for it is "bacterial SSU rRNA". It matches the Rfam family "Bacterial small subunit ribosomal RNA", at positions 112 to 826 of the family's 1533-position model. The record is from RNAcentral. Lineage: Bacteria; Pseudomonadati; Bacteroidota; Sphingobacteriia; Sphingobacteriales; Sphingobacteriaceae.